UGAUGUGGUUCGGAAAGAUCGUCAAGGGAUUAAUGAAAACUAUAUCAAAGAGGCGAUGAGAAAUGUCUUCCAGUCGAUAUCUCUUCCUCUUCAGUCUCUUGGUCUACAUCUACACAAUGGGUUGAGGAGAACAAGGAAUUUGAUGGUAUGUAGUGUGUUGUAAAUGGUUCAAAAUAACUUAAACUUAUUGACAUUUAGUGUCUUUUUCGUCUUG
Molecule: unclassified non-coding RNA, 214 nt
Filed under: Hevea brasiliensis (rubber tree)
Lineage: Eukaryota; Viridiplantae; Streptophyta; Magnoliopsida; Malpighiales; Euphorbiaceae
Source: RNAcentral